UACGAAGGGGGCGAGCGUUGUUCGGAUUUACUGGGCGUAAAGGGCGCGUAGGCGGCGCGGCAAGUCAGGCGUGAAAGCCCCGGGCUCAACCUGGGAAUUGCGCAUGAUACUGCGGCGCUUGAAGACGGGAGAGGAUGGCGGAAUUCCCAGUGUAGAGGUGAAAUUCGUAGAUAUUGGGAAGAACACCGGUGGCGAAGGCGGCCAUCUGGCCCGUAAUUGACGCUGAGGCGCGAAAGCGUGGGGAGCAAACAGG
This 253-nucleotide ribosomal RNA is filed under the name uncultured bacterium. RNAcentral's name for it is "partial 16S ribosomal RNA". It matches the Rfam family "Bacterial small subunit ribosomal RNA", at positions 524 to 776 of the family's 1533-position model. The record is from RNAcentral.